AGAUUAAAAGGGUAUGAAGGCCCUGCAGGAAACAGUGGAGGAGCAGUUUCCCUCUGGAGGGGCGGGCCACACCUGAGCGCGGUUCACCUGAGCGCGGUUCACCUGAGCGCGGUUCACCUGGCGGGUCGCCGCUGGACACCAGAGGGAGACGGUCAGACAUCAUCCGGUGACGUCAGGAGAUCCGACCGAGCACCUGCCUCCUCAUCGCCUCCAGCUCCUCCUGGAAGGUCGACACACCUGUCUUUUAAGACCGCCUCACCACUCCUCCCCGGCCUGACACUCUGGACAAGCGCCGUCCGGGGGGGGCGGAGACUCUCACCCUCAGCGACUCCACCAGCGCCUCCAGCCGCAGGGCUUUCUUCCGGCAGCUCUGCGGCUUCUCCUCCAGCCUCCCCCUCCUUCAGGUACAGGUCUCCGUGCUGGAUGUGACCCAGCUCCAGCAGGGCGCCGCUGAAGCCCACCCUCAGCUCGGUGACCAUGCUCUGCAGCUGGGAGAGGCGGGACUCACAAUCCGACAUCUUCCUGGUUUGUUUCGCUCGGUCUCUUUACCUUUGAGAUCUCCUGGACGAGGUGGACCUCCUGAGGCUUCAUGAUCUGCAGAGACAAACCAGAAUCCUUACAUCCCGAGCAGCUCCGGCUCUGAUCGGAGGCGCUUUUCCCGUUUGGGAGCCGUACCUGCUCAGGUGACGCUCCUGCCAGCAGCUCUGCUGAGGAAGUAACGCGGCGUCCAGAGACGGAGAGGGAGCUGCAGGGAAACGCCCGCCGGCGCCAAGACUCCUCCUUAUUAGUCACCCGCCAGAAGGACGGGCAGCAGGAACCCCCCCCUCCCCUGCUUUGUAUUUAUGUUCUGGAAAACAUGCAUCACAAAAGCUUUCAUUUGCAUUUCAGUUCCUCUUAAAUGUGAUUUAGCUGUAAUUUGAAGAUUUUAAAAACUAGAAGAUGUUUUAUCAAAUAAAAAAGGUCCAUCAGACUUACCUUCCCUGUUAAAAUAUUCUUCAUUUUUAAAGGUUUUUCUCUCAAACUGUUAUUUGUGAAAAGCCCCCGUUCAGUCCUGGGGGGGGCAGGUUCCUGCGGGACGUCCAGCUGAGCUGCUGAGGAUUCGUGAUCGAGCAGGAACCUGUGGGACAAACGAUCCCUGAUGGAUCAUUUCUGUUGAUGUUUGAACAUGAAUAAAACCUUUAGUUUAGUGUAAAAGUUUUCAAACUUGUUUGUUUGAUUUUUAAGAUUCAGAGAAAAACUCUUUUAUUAAUAAAGAAUUCUAAAUGAAAGGUCAUACCAGUAAC
Molecule: long non-coding RNA, 1283 nt
Filed under: Oryzias javanicus (javanese ricefish)
Lineage: Eukaryota; Metazoa; Chordata; Actinopteri; Beloniformes; Adrianichthyidae
Description: lncRNA (ENSOJAG00000014376.1)
Source: RNAcentral